GAAUUGACUGCAGUCUCCCCAAAGGUAACUCGUCCAGUACUUUUCAAGAUAAAGCAAUCGUUAUGUUUGCCUUUCCAUUUCAUAAUCUUGGAGAGUCUACAUCCUAGGAGUUUUCAUAUAAAGAUGUGUAUCUCAAAGUAUAUCUGUUGUUGAGGACAUCUGUACUCCACAGACACGCUUUUUAGAGCGUAGAAGCUUUCUGCUGUGUAAGACCUUUGCUCUGACAUGGCAGGCAGUCCUAUAUGGGGCAGCCACCUAUUGAUUCUCUGGAUGCUGGAAGUCUUCACCACUGUCAGCAGAGAGCACAGAGCUGCACCACACGUUUCUCUUUCUCUGCAGGAGAGGUUCAGCCAAGAAGGUUGAAAAAGCUGCAGUGCAGGAUGCGCCUGGGAUGUCUGUAUGCUGCUCUGUGUAAGUCUUCAGGGUGGGUCUCUCUGACCUACACAGGCGCUAAAAGUGCUGUGUAGGAACCUACCACAGGUACUUCAGUCAUACUUCUUUUCUGGUGUGUGCAUACAGUCUCUCUGCAUCACAAGUGUUGCUGUGCCUUCAGUAACAGUUCCAGUUCACUAAGCCCAUUAGGAUUAGUUGAGGUGGGAGCCCCUCUACAGCUGGUGAGCGUAACUCCUACAGUUACAGCUAUGUGAAACUCUCUGUAGGAGAGUAGUACUGAAAAUUGUUAGCACAGUUUUUGCUAACUGAAAUAGAAAUACAUUGUGGUUGACAGAGCAGUAGGGUCAUAGGGUUAUUAAAAUAGUAAAGGAGCUCAAGAAGCCUGUAGUCUAAGCUUCUGCUCCAGGCAGGGUCAGCCGUGAGAUCAGGCCAGGCUACUCAGAGCUUCAUUCAUUCUGGUCCUGAAAAUCUCAAAGGAUAGAGGCUGUGCAGCCUCUUUGAGCAACCCCUUUCACUGCUGACUGUCUUCACGGUGAAAAAGUUUCUUCUUAUAUCACCUCUGAACCUCUCCUGUUUCACCUUAUACCAUUUCUUCCUGCAGCUUACCACUAUGAAGAGCUGGGCUCCAUCCUCCUCCUUAGGUAUCAGAAUGCUGCUACUAGGUACCCCCAAAGCCCUCUCUUCCCCAGGCAGAACCAGCCCCAUCCCUCUGCCUCCCCUUACAGGGCAACUGCUCCACCUCCCUCAGCGCCUUGGUGGCCCUCUGAUGCGCUUGGCCCAGC
Molecule: long non-coding RNA, 1175 nt
Filed under: Strigops habroptila (Kakapo)
Lineage: Eukaryota; Metazoa; Chordata; Aves; Psittaciformes; Psittacidae
Description: lncRNA (ENSSHBG00005004644.1)
Source: RNAcentral